GUCGAUCGUCCGUUAUCUAUGUAGAAACAGAAACAUAGAUACGAUGACAAAAAGUAUCUCUAUAUGCUAUUAUGCUAAUAGGUAGAGCUGUCAAUUAGACAGGCGGCUCAUGAACUUGCCCAGUCCAAAUGCAUAUGGACGAACUAUAUUCUGGACCAUAAAACAAAUGGUCCAAUUGGGCAUAUAACCAGUUUUGUCCACGAAUAAUAUGAGUUUGACCAUAUGGACAAUGGGCUGCCCAUGGGCAUGAAUUGAGGGAAAAAUACAAUUUCUCCGAUUUUACGAUUUUGACGGAAAAACGUAAUUCUGCAAAUUUCCUCUAAAACGCGAUUUUAUUAUUUUGGCGAGAACACAAUUUUACAGUUUCGACGGGAAAACGCAAUUCUCCGAUUUUACGGUUUUGGCGGGAAAACGCAAUUUUUCUACCAAAAUCGUGAUUUUAUUAUAUUGGCGAAAAACACAAUUUUACAGUUUUGGUGAGAAAACACAAUUCUACGUUUUGGCGAGAAAAAACAAUUUUACGAUUCUACCGUUUUGGCGAAAAAAAACAAUUUCAUAAUUUUUCCGCCAAAAUCGUGAUUUUAUUGUAUUGGUAAGAAAAACACAAUUUUACCGUUUUGUCGGAAAAAUGCAAAAUGCAAAAACA
Molecule: small RNA, 646 nt
Filed under: Arabidopsis thaliana (thale cress)
Lineage: Eukaryota; Viridiplantae; Streptophyta; Magnoliopsida; Brassicales; Brassicaceae
Description: ATSL000860
Source: RNAcentral